This 252-nucleotide ribosomal RNA is filed under the name uncultured bacterium. Its description in RNAcentral is "partial 16S ribosomal RNA". It matches the Rfam family "Bacterial small subunit ribosomal RNA", at positions 524 to 776 of the family's 1533-position model. The record is from RNAcentral.
UACGUAGGUGGCAAGCGUUAUCCGGAUUUAUUGGGCGUAAAGAGAACGCAGGCGGUCUUUUAAGUCUGGUGUAAAAGGCAGUGGCUCAACCAUUGUAUGCAUUGGAAACUGGUAGACUUGAGUGCAGAAGAGGAGAGUGGAACUCCAUGUGUAGCGGUGGAAUGCGUAGAUAUAUGGAAGAACACCAGUGGCGAAAGCGGCUCUCUGGUCUGUAACUGACGCUGAGGUUCGAAAGCGUGGGUAGCAAACAGG